RNAcentral lists this ribosomal RNA (630 nucleotides) under uncultured bacterium. RNAcentral's name for it is "bacterial SSU rRNA". It matches the Rfam family "Bacterial small subunit ribosomal RNA", at positions 56 to 675 of the family's 1533-position model. The record is from RNAcentral.
UGCAAGUCGAGGGGCAGCACAUGAAGUAGCAAUACGGAUGGUGGCGACCGGCGCACGGGUGAGUAACGCGUAUGCAACCUGCCUACAACAGGGGGAUAACCCGUUGAAAGACGGACUAAUACCUCAUAAUACAGGGGUUCCGCAUGGGAAUAUUUGUUAAAGAUUAAUCGGUUGUAGAUGGGCAUGCGUUCCAUUAGCUGGUUGGAGAGGUAACGGCUCACCAAGGCAACGAUGGAUAGGGGAACUGAGAGGUUUAUCCCCCACACUGGUACUGAGACACGGACCAGACUCCUACGGGAGGCAGCAGUGAGGAAUAUUGGUCAAUGGACGCAAGUCUGAACCAGCCACGUCGCGUGAAGGAAGACGGCCCUACGGGUUGUAAACUUCUUUUGUAAGGGAAUAAAGUGAGUCACGAGUGACUUUUUGCAUGUACCUUACGAAUAAGGAUCGGCUAACUCCGUGCCAGCAGCCGCGGUAAUACGGAGGAUCCGAGCGUUAUCCGGAUUUAUUGGGUUUAAAGGGUGCGCAGGCGGGAGAUUAAGUCGGCGGUGAAAUUUUGCAGCUCAACUGUAAAAGUGCCUUCGAAACUGGUAUCCUUGAGUGUGGAUGAAGUAGGCGGAAUUUGUGGUG